GGACUAGCUGAUUGCUUAACUUCCUCUCAGUUCUAACAGUUCUUAACACUCGAUUAUCUACAUGAAGAUGUGAAGGGGAGAGAUGAGCAGGCAUUCAGAAAAAGCGGAUGACACAGGCAUUCAUAGUUCGAGCAUUGUGUGUGUGUAUUUUUAUUUUUGGCCGCACCACGUGGCAUGUGGGAUCUUAACUCUCCGACCAGAGAUCAAACCCUGCAGUGGAAGCAUGGAGUCUUAAACACUGGACCAUCAGGAACGUCUCCACUGGCUCCCCAGGUACUGCUUGUACUGCAGGACUUCCCUGGUAGCUCAGACGGUAAAGCGUCUGCCUACAAUGCGGGAGACCCGGAUUCGAUCCCUGGGUCAGGAAGAUCCCCUGGAGAAGGAAACGGCAACCAACUCCAGUAUUCAUGCCUGGAAAAUCCCAUGGACCUAGGAGCCUGGUGGGCUACAAUCCAUGGGGUCGCAAAGAGUUGGACACGACAGAGAGACUUCACUUCACUUCACUUCACUUCCAGGCUGGCCACACCCUCUCCGGGGUGCGGAUCCCGGGAACCCUGGCCGGACCUCAUUGGCCUGCGGCGCCGCCACUCGGUGAGACGUGCCUCAACCCGGAAGUGUGAGAGGCGAAAUCUGCCUAGCAACCGGGGAAGCCGGGCUGCGAAGCGGGCAAUUUCAGUGUGAGACGGAGCGGCGAGACCAAGCGGCGGCUUCGAGCGCGGCGCG
Bos taurus (domestic cattle) is the source of this 723-nucleotide long non-coding RNA. The record is from Ensembl. NCBI's taxonomy places the organism in Eukaryota, Metazoa, Chordata, Mammalia, Artiodactyla, Bovidae.